UAAGGGAAACAGUGCAUACAAUCAACU
This 27-nucleotide non-coding RNA is filed under the name Homo sapiens (human). The record is from RNAcentral. Lineage: Eukaryota; Metazoa; Chordata; Mammalia; Primates; Hominidae.